This 218-nucleotide long non-coding RNA is filed under the name Elaeis guineensis (African oil palm). RNAcentral describes it as "long non-coding RNA (EGUI_LNC082928)". Lineage: Eukaryota; Viridiplantae; Streptophyta; Magnoliopsida; Arecales; Arecaceae. The record is from RNAcentral.
GAUCAGGUGUUACCAGUGUGAUGAGUUGGGGUAUCUAGUCAGAGAUUGCUCUCAACUUAGAGAUUAGACGAGGGCUACUGCACCGACGGCCAGUAGCGAUUUAGAGGGUGAUGUCCUGGAGAUAUCUGAUAAGGUAUCUACUUCUUUCCAGCAGUGGAUUUUAGAUUCUGCAUGCACCUAUCAUGUAUGUUGCAGAGAGGAGCAGUUUGACUCCCUGG